This 463-nucleotide ribosomal RNA is filed under the name uncultured bacterium. Its description in RNAcentral is "partial 16S ribosomal RNA". It matches the Rfam family "Bacterial small subunit ribosomal RNA", at positions 28 to 507 of the family's 1533-position model. The record is from RNAcentral.
GAUGAACGCUGACAGAAUGCUUAACACAUGCAAGUCGAUGGGGAAGUGGUGCUUGCACCAUGGCAACCAUGGCGGACGGGUGAGUAACGCGUAAGGGACUUACCUGCAGGACUGGGAUAACAGGGGGAAACUCCUGACAAGACCGGAUAAUGUCAUGGAGCUGCAUGGCUUUAUGAUGAAAGGAGACGCCUGCGGAGAGCCUUGCGUCCUAUUAGCUAGUUGGUGAGGUAAUGGCUCACCAAGGCGAAGAUAGGUAGCCGGCCUGAGAGGGUGGACGGCCACAAGGGGGCUGAGAGACGGCCCUUACUCCUACGGGAGGCAGCAGUGGGGAAUAUUGGACAAUGGGGGCAACCCUGAUCCAGCAAUUCUGUGUGCACGAAGAAGGUUUUCGGAUUGUAAAGUGCUUUCAGCAGGGAAGAAGUAAGUGACGGUACCUGCAGAAGAAGCGACGGCUAAAUACGUG